RNAcentral lists this unclassified non-coding RNA (200 nucleotides) under soil metagenome. RNAcentral describes it as "partial contains internal transcribed spacer 2 and large subunit ribosomal RNA". The record is from RNAcentral.
CCUGUUCGAGCGUCAGUACAACACUCAAGCUCAGCUUGGUCUUGAGCCCCGCCGGCAACGGCAGGCUUUAAAAUCAGUGGCGGCGCGCCUGGCUCUCAGCGUAGUAAUACACCCCGCUGAAGAGUUCUAGCGGAUGCUAGCCAGCAACCCCAACUUCUAAGUUUGACCUCGGAUCAGGUAGGGAUACCCGCUGAACUUAA